AAAAAGAUAAGCUAACUAAGCUACUGGGCUCAUACCCCAUUUAUAAAGGUUCUAAUCCUUUUCUUUUUAA
Molecule: transfer RNA, 70 nt
Filed under: Peckia collusor
Lineage: Eukaryota; Metazoa; Arthropoda; Insecta; Diptera; Sarcophagidae
Description: tRNA-Met
Rfam family: tRNA
About the family: Transfer RNA (tRNA) molecules are approximately 80 nucleotides in length.
Source: RNAcentral